Molecule: non-coding RNA, 29 nt
Filed under: Rattus norvegicus (Norway rat)
Lineage: Eukaryota; Metazoa; Chordata; Mammalia; Rodentia; Muridae
Source: RNAcentral
UCUGAUGAUAGACGCUCUUCCCUCCUUGU